UGGGGAAUAUUGCACAAUGGGCGGAAGCCUGAUGCAGCAACGCCGCGUGCGGGAUGACGGCCUUCGGGUUGUAAACCGCUUUCGCCUGUGACGAAGCGUGAGUGACGGUAAUGGGUAAAGAAGCACCGGCUAACUACGUGCCAGCAGCCGCGGUGAUACGUAGGGUGCGAGCGUUGUCCGGAUUUAUUGGGCGUAAAGGGCUCGUAGGUGGUUGAUCGCGUCGGAAGUGUAAUCUUGGGGCUUAACCCUGAGCGUGCUUUCGAUACGGGUUGACUUGAGGAAGGUAGGGGGGAAUGGAAUUCCUGGUGGAGCGGUGGAAUGCGCAGAUAUCAGGAGGAACACCAGUGGCGAAGGCGGUUCUCUGGGCCUUUCCUGACGCUGAGGAGCGAAAGCGUGGGAAGCGAACAGG
This 409-nucleotide ribosomal RNA is filed under the name Acidobacteriota bacterium. RNAcentral's name for it is "Acidobacteria bacterium partial 16S ribosomal RNA". It matches the Rfam family "Bacterial small subunit ribosomal RNA", at positions 355 to 776 of the family's 1533-position model. Lineage: Bacteria; Pseudomonadati; Acidobacteriota. The record is from RNAcentral.